Molecule: ribosomal RNA, 723 nt
Filed under: Vibrio sp. 12B04
Lineage: Bacteria; Pseudomonadati; Pseudomonadota; Gammaproteobacteria; Vibrionales; Vibrionaceae
Description: bacterial SSU rRNA
Rfam family: Bacterial small subunit ribosomal RNA
Source: RNAcentral
ACGCUGGCGGCAGGCCUAACACAUGCAAGUCGAGCGGAAACGACACUAACAAUCCCUCGGGUGCGUUAAUGGGCGUCGAGCGGCGGACGGGUGAGUAAUGCCUAGGAAAUUGCCUUGAUGUGGGGGAUAACCAUUGGAAACGAUGGCUAAUACCGCAUAAUGCCUACGGGCCAAAGAGGGGGACCUUCGGGCCUCUCGCGUCAAGAUAUGCCUAGGUGGGAUUAGCUAGUUGGUGAGGUAAUGGCUCACCAAGGCGACGAUCCCUAGCUGGUCUGAGAGGAUGAUCAGCCACACUGGAACUGAGACACGGUCCAGACUCCUACGGGAGGCAGCAGUGGGGAAUAUUGCACAAUGGGCGAAAGCCUGAUGCAGCCAUGCCGCGUGUAUGAAGAAGGCCUUCGGGUUGUAAAGUACUUUCAGUUGUGAGGAAGGGGGUAGYGUUAAUAGCGYUAUCUCUUGACGUUAGCAACAGAAGAAGCACCGGCUAACUCCGUGCCAGCAGCCGCGGUAAUACGGAGGGUGCGAGCGUUAAUCGGAAUUACUGGGCGUAAAGCGCAUGCAGGUGGUUCAUUAAGUCAGAUGUGAAAGCCCGGGGCUCAACCUCGGAACUGCAUUUGAAACUGGUGAACUAGAGUACUGUAGAGGGGGGUAGAAUUUCAGGUGUAGCGGUGAAAUGCGUAGAGAUCUGAAGGAAUACCAGUGGCGAAGGCGGCCCCCUGGACA